GCCCCCGUAGCUCAAUGGAUAGAGCGCAUCGGUUCUAACGAUAGGGUUGCGCGUUCGACUCGCGCCGGGGGCA
This 73-nucleotide transfer RNA is filed under the name Candidatus Woesebacteria bacterium RBG_16_42_24. RNAcentral describes it as "tRNA-Arg". It matches the Rfam family "tRNA". Rfam says of the family: Transfer RNA (tRNA) molecules are approximately 80 nucleotides in length. RNAcentral also lists the same sequence under 2 other names. The record is from RNAcentral. Lineage: Bacteria; Candidatus Woeseibacteriota.